AGCCUAGUGCUUAGAGUGUAGAGGCAGGCAGCCUAGUGGUUAGAGUGUAGAGGAGGCAGGCAGCCUAGUGGUUAGAGUGUAGAGGCAGCAGGUAGCCUAGUGGUUAGAGUGUAGAGGUGGCAGGUAGCCUAGUGGUUAGAGUGUAGAGGAGGCAGGUAGCCUAGUGGUUAGAGUGUAGAGGAGGCAGGUAGCCUAGUGGUUAGAGUGUAGAGCUGGCAGGUAGCCUAGUGGUUAGAGUGUAGAGGAGGCAGGUAGCCUAGUGGUUAGAGUGUAGAGCUGGCAGGUAGCCUAGUGGUUAGAGUGUAGAGGGGGCAGGUAGCCUAGUGGGUAGAGGCAGGUAGCCUAGUGGUUAGAGUGUAGAGGCAGCAGGUAGCCUAGUGGUUAGAGUGUAGAGGCGGCAGGGUAGCCUAGUGGUUAGAGUGUAGAGGUGGCAGGCAGCCUAGUGGUUAGAGUGUAGAGGCGGCAGGGUAGCAUAGUGGUUAGAGUAUAGAGGGGGCAGGUAGCCUAGUGGUUAGAGUGUAGAGGGGGCAGGUAGCCUAGUGGUUAGAGUGUAGAGGCGGCAGGGUAGCCUAGUGGUUAGAGUGUAGAGGUGGCAGGCAGCCUAGUGGUUAGAGGGGAGAGGCAGGCAGUCUAGUGGUUAGAGUGUAGAGGUGGCAGGUAGCCUAGUGGUUAGAGGGGAGAGGCGGCAGGUAGCCUAGUGGUUAGAGUGUAGAGGUGGCAGGCAGCCUAGUGGUAGAGUGCAGAGGUGGCAGGUAGCCUAGUGGUUAGAGGGGAGAGGCGGCAGGUAGCCUAGUGGUUAGAGUGUAGGGGCGGCAGGUAGCCUAGUGGAUAGAGUGCAGAGGUGGCAGGCAGCCUAGUGGUUAGAGCGUUGGGUCCACUAACCGAAAGGUUGCUAGAUCGAAUCCCCCGA
This is a long non-coding RNA of Oncorhynchus tshawytscha (Chinook salmon), 910 nucleotides long. NCBI's taxonomy places the organism in Eukaryota, Metazoa, Chordata, Actinopteri, Salmoniformes, Salmonidae. The record is from Ensembl.